ACAAAGGUGGCAAGAGAGAAUAGAGAGAGUUUACAGAGAAGUCAAGAUAGAGAGAAAGAGAAGAACCCAAGUGAAGAGGAGAGCUAGGAAUCACAAGAGGAGUGAAGAUUUUGGUGGAUUAGCUAAGCUUUCGAGGAAACAAGAGUAGGGAAAUUCAAAACAGACUUAAAGCCUCACAACAUUGUUCUUUCAAACUAUGAAGGAAAAAUGGCCAUUCCCUUGGGGCCAUUCAAGUCGAUUUGGCAGUAGAAAGCGUCAUAAGGCCAACACUCUUUAUGGUGGUUCCUUCCAAAGUUAACUUCAAUUUGUUGCUUGGAAGGAAGUGGAUCCAUGGGGUAGAUGUUUUACCUCCGUAUCUGCAUCAAAGAAGUGCCAUCUAGAGAGAAGAUGGUUUGGUCGAAAACAUUGAGGCUGACCAAAGCUACUUCAUGGCUGAAGUAAACCAUGUGACUAGAAAAACUUUCACAAAAAUUUGGCGAAUAUAUUGCAUGCUCAUAAGCGGAAUCUGGAUUCACCCCCAGAAAAAUGUAUGUUAUGUAAAACUUGAUCCUACACAUGGAUUUAUGUUGGAAAGAAGUAGCAGAAGAAGAAACUCUGGAGGGGCAUGAGUGGUUCUAUGGCCCGGCAACCCCGGCCACUCGUCCGGGCUCCGGCUCAAUUUUUUUCAAUUUCUUAUGUAAAUCCUUAUAAAUUUCUUAUAUAAACAUCUAUAAAUUGGACAAUUUCUUUA
This is a long non-coding RNA of Medicago truncatula (barrel medic), 730 nucleotides long. RefSeq lists it as uncharacterized. The transcript has 2 exons. The record is from RefSeq and is a predicted model, not a curated record. NCBI's taxonomy places the organism in Eukaryota, Viridiplantae, Streptophyta, Magnoliopsida, Fabales, Fabaceae.